AGAGUUCGAUUCUGGCUCAGGAUGAACGCCGGCGGUGUGCCUAAUACAUGCAAGUCGAGCGCACUGGCCCAACUGAUAUGACGUGCUUGCACUGAUUUGACGAUGGAUUACCAGUGAGCGGCGGACGGGUGAGUAACACGUGGGCAACCUGCCCUAAAGCGGGGGAUAACAUUUGGAAACAGGUGCUAAUACCGCAUAACUACGAAAACCACAUGGUUUUCGUAUAAAAGAUGGUUUCGGCUAUCACUUUAGGAUGGGCCCGCGGUGCAUUAGCUAGUUGGUAAGGUAAAGGCUUACCAAGGCAAUGAUGCAUAGCCGAGUUGAGAGACUGAUCGGCCACAAUGGAACUGAGACACGGUCCAU
RNAcentral lists this ribosomal RNA (363 nucleotides) under uncultured bacterium. RNAcentral describes it as "bacterial SSU rRNA". It matches the Rfam family "Bacterial small subunit ribosomal RNA", at positions 8 to 334 of the family's 1533-position model. The record is from RNAcentral.